GGGGAAGACAUAAUGGAGAAUAAAGUUACAUAAGGAGGUCGGACACUUGAAGUACCCCCUGAUCCAAUCAAUUUUAAAGGCGGAACUGAAACUCUGCGCUGUAGUUUCCUUCAAAGCCUCUUAGACGUCACGGACGACCGGAAGUGGUCGCAAAUUUAAACAGCCUUCACAGCAACAAUACCCGCGGACUUUCACUUCACGGGUUGUGUGGUGAAUCGGUCAUUUAUAAAUAAAUAAAAAAAUACUCUUACGAAGGAUUUCUUUAAGGCUGGCAUCUUCCAUUACUGUUUCGAACAUCAACAUGGACGAGAAGCUGAACGCCAAAGAGAAUCUCGUGCCAGCGGCUUAAGAAAAUGACGCGACAAUUAGUGUUUGUACUCAAUGUUAGCGAUUUAUAGUUAUUUACUACAGCCCACGUAUAACAACCCGCAAUACACCAAUCCAGGCUUACGGCAA
RNAcentral lists this long non-coding RNA (456 nucleotides) under Cottoperca gobio. RNAcentral's name for it is "lncRNA (ENSCGOG00000003250.1)". The record is from RNAcentral. Lineage: Eukaryota; Metazoa; Chordata; Actinopteri; Perciformes; Bovichtidae.